Molecule: ribosomal RNA, 468 nt
Filed under: uncultured bacterium
Lineage: Bacteria
Description: partial 16S ribosomal RNA
Rfam family: Bacterial small subunit ribosomal RNA
Source: RNAcentral
GACGAACGCUGGCGGCGUGCUUAACACAUGCAAGUCGAACGGAAAGGCCCUGCUUUUGUGGGGUGCUCGAGUGGCGAACGGGUGAGUAACACGUGAGUAACCUGCCCUUGACUUUGGGAUAACUUCAGGAAACUGGCGCUAAUACCGGAUAGGAGCUCCUGCUGCAUGGUGGUGGUUGGAAAUUUUCGUCGGUGGGGGAUGGACUCGCGGCUUAUCAGCUUGUUGGUGGGGUAGUGGCUUACCAAGGCGUUGACGGGUAGCCGGCCUGAGAGGGUGACCGGCCACAUUGGGACUGAGAUACGGCCCAGACUCCUACGGGAGGCAGCAGUGGGGAAUAUUGCACAAUGGGCGGAAGCCUGAUGCAGCAACGCCGCGUGCGGGAUGACGGCCUUCGGGUUGUAAACCGCUUUCGCCUGUGACGAAGCGUGAGUGAAGGUAACGGAUAAAGAAGCACCGGCUAACUACGGG